RNAcentral lists this ribosomal RNA (492 nucleotides) under uncultured bacterium. RNAcentral's name for it is "partial 16S ribosomal RNA". It matches the Rfam family "Bacterial small subunit ribosomal RNA", at positions 29 to 507 of the family's 1533-position model. The record is from RNAcentral.
AGUGAACGCUGGCGGUAGGCCUAACACAUGCAAGUCGAACGGCAGCACAGUAAGAGCUUGCUCUUACGGGUGGCGAGUGGCGGACGGGUGAGGAAUACAUCGGAAUCUACUUUUUCGUGAGGGAUAACGUAGGGAAACUUACGCUAAUACCGCAUACGACCUACGGGUGAAAGCAGGGGAUCUUCGGACCUUGCGCGAUUGAAUGAGCCGAUGUCGGAUUAGCUAGUUGGCGGGGUAAAGGCCCACCAAGGCGACGAUCCGUAGCUGGUCUGAGAGGAUGAUCAGCCACACUGGAACUGAGACACGGUCCAGACUCCUACGGGAGGCAGCAGUGGGGAAUAUUGGACAAUGGGCGCAAGCCUGAUCCAGCCAUACCGCGUGGGUGAAGAAGGCCUUCGGGUUGUAAAGCCCUUUUGUUGGGAAAGAAAAGCAGCAGGUUAAUACCCCGCUGUUCUGACGGUACCCAAGGAAUAAGCACCGGCUAACUUCGUG